Molecule: ribosomal RNA, 492 nt
Filed under: uncultured bacterium
Lineage: Bacteria
Description: partial 16S ribosomal RNA
Rfam family: Bacterial small subunit ribosomal RNA
Source: RNAcentral
AGUGAACGCUGGCGGUAGGCCUAACACAUGCAAGUCGAACGGCAGCACAGUAAGAGCUUGCUCUUACGGGUGGCGAGUGGCGGACGAGUGAGGAAUACAUCGGAAUCUACUUUUUCGUGGGGGAUAACGUAGGGAAACUUACGCUAAUACCGCAUACGACCUACGGGUGAAAGCAGGGGAUCUUCGGACCUUGCGCGAUUGAAUGAGCCGAUGUCGGAUUAGCUAGUUGGCGGGGUAAAGGCCCACCAAGGCGACGAUCCGUAGCUGGUCUGAGAGGAUGAUCAGCCACACUGGGACUGAGACACGGUCCAGACUCCUACGGGAGGCAGCAGUGGGGAAUAUUGGACAAAGGGCGCAAGCCUGAUCCAGCCAUACCGCGUGGGUGAAGAAGGCCUUCGGGUUGUAAAGCCCUUUUGUUGGGAAAGAAAAGCAGCAGGUUAAUACCCCGCUGUUCUGACGGUACCCAAAGAAUAAGCACCGGCUAACUUCGUG